Molecule: long non-coding RNA, 4845 nt
Filed under: Oncorhynchus kisutch (coho salmon)
Lineage: Eukaryota; Metazoa; Chordata; Actinopteri; Salmoniformes; Salmonidae
Description: lncRNA (ENSOKIG00005050099.1)
Source: RNAcentral
AUGAAGUGCACAGGUUGUGGCCAUGUUGCGUUUGAGAAAACGGCUAGAUUCUGCAGCCAGUGUGGACAUCAACUAGCUGCACCACCAGUCACCAAGGAGCCUGACAACACUUCUGGAAGUUCACCUAAGCCGUUAGAUCCAUCACUGGAGAGUGUGAAUGAGAAGACGGAAAUGGAGAGUGAUGUGUCAACCCUGAAUAACCGGGAAACUAACACUUCUCCGAAGCGGCCCAAUGAAGAGCCCAACAGCAACCCUAAGAAAAAGAGAAAAAAGAGGAAGAGGACCAAGAAGAAGAAGGACUCUGACCAGCUGACCUCUGACCUGUCUGACAUCUCCCUUAUGGACAGCCAUGGGAAUAGCAGGAAACAGGACGUUGCAGAGUCCUCCGACAGUGAUGCCAGCGCCAUGGACGAGACACCCAACUCACUUCAUGACACGUCUGCCUUAGUGGAGAAACCAGCCAGUGCAUCAGCAUCAUCCGCAGCACCCAGUACAAUCAGUCCAUCUGAGAACACGUCUGACAAUAAAGAUCCUCCAAGCACUACCUCGUCACAGCCUGAGGCCAGUGCAGAGAGCCAUUCUGCCGAAGGGAAAGAUCAACAGUGCAGUGAAGACAGAGACCGAUCUCAGUCACCUACAAAACAGACCUCCAAGUCGGCUCCGAAUGACACUCCUGCCUCUCUCACCGACUCGGCUGGUAAAUCCACCACCACCACCAUCCCCCCUCUUCACUCAGCCUCAGUGGUAUCGUCGAAGACCACUGACCAGAAAGCUCCAAAGGCUGCUGACGCAAAGAUCGCUGACCAGAAAGUUCCAAAGGAUGCUGACGCAACGACCACUGACCAGAAAGCUCCAAAGGCUGCUGACGCAACGACCGCUGACCAGAAAGCUCCAAAGGCUGCUGACGUAAAGAUCGCUGACCAGAAAGCUCCAAAGGCUGCUGACGUAAAGAUCGCUGACCAGAAAGCUCCAAAGGCUGCUGACGCAACGACCGCUGACCAGAAAGCUCCAAAGGCUGCUGACGUAAAGAGCACUAAGAACAAGAAAGACGUGGCCAACUCAAAGCAGACGAACCUGAACCAGAAUGCGAACGUGAACCAGAAUGCUAAGCAGAACCAGACCAGACAAGACAAACAGAAAGGGACAGAUGAUCAGCAGAACCAGGAUUCGAAGCAAACCACCGCUGGUAAUAAGAUGGUGUUUGGCACUCAGAAGAAAUCAGAGGUGGAGAGCAGAGGCUCCAGUGUGGACCCACAGGUGAAGGUGGAGAACAUGGAGGUCCAGCAGCAGCCUUCCCGUGGGGGGGGAGAUGCCUCCUCCCCUACACCACAGAGCCCAGGCGUCAAGAAAGAGAAACAGAAAGACAACAAAAGCGACGACUCUGAAACCAAGGGUCAGGAUGUUCCACCGCCAAAAAGGUAUUUACAAGUCUUGUGUUGUUCAUAACAGAAAUCACACAAUUAUAACAUGAAGAACCUAAAAGGCACACUUUUCUUGCAUUGAUCAACAUCUAUAGGUGCACAAAAGCACUUUCAAAAACACCCACAGACUCGCACAGCGCUACUAUCCACUGUUGUUUGUGUACACAAUGUUGUGUUUAUUUCCAAACACGUUUCUGAGAGAGGAAAUCCACUCUAACUACAGGUACAGAAGCAAAGUAAGUAUUCAUACUCCUUGACUUAUUCUACAUGUUGUUGUCUUCCAGCCUGAAUUCAAAAUGGUUUAAAUAGAUGUAUUUGUCUCAACAAUCUACAAACAAUACCCCAUAAUGACGUAAUAAUGUUUUUAGAAUUUUUGCAAAUUGAUUGAAAAGUAAAUACAGAAAUAUUUAAUUUACAUAAUUAUUCACACCCCUAAGUUAAUACUUUGUAGAAGUGCUGUUGGUGGCGAUUUCAGCUGUGAAUCUUUUUGGGGAAGUCUCUAAGAGCACUUCACUUGUCAAGCUCUGUCGAGUUGAUCGUUACUUGCUAGACAGCCAUUUUCAAGGCUUGCCAUACAUUUUAAAGAUGAUUUAAGCGAACUGUAACACGUUCACUCAGGAACAUUCAAUGGCGUCUUGGUAUAAUGUUAUUCCCCUUUUUUCCACCCCAAUUUCAUGGUAUCCAAUUGGUAGUAGUUACAGUCUUGUCUCAUCGCUGCAACUGCCGUACGGACUUGGGAGAGGCGAAGGUCGAGAGCCAUGUCCUCCAAAACACAACCCAAGGACCCAUGGACCUCCCGGUCGCGGUCGGCUGCGACAGAGCCUGGGCUCGAACGCAGAGUCUCUGGUGUCACAGCUAGCACUGCGAUGCAGUGCCUUGGACCACUGCGCCACCCGGGAGGCCUUCUGUUUCUUUUUAUCCCAAAAAACUCCCUAGUACUUGCCGAUGACAAGCAUACCCAUAACAUGAUGCUUCCACCACUGUGCAUUGAAAAACCUCCCAAGUCUUUGUGGUUGAAUCUGUGUUUGAAAUUCAGUACUCAAUUGUGUGGCACAGAAAUCAUGAUCACCACUAUAAUUGAACAUGGAAUGAGUACAUGCAAUUUAAGCAUAUUUUUUACUCCUGAAAUUAAUUAGGCUUUCAUAACAAAAGGUUUGAAUACUUACUGACUCAAGACAUUUCAGCUUUACAUUUUUUAUUAUUUUCUACAAACAAAAUUCCACUUUGACAUUGUGUGUGUGUGUGUGUGUGUGUGUGUGUGUGUGUGUGUGUGUGUGUGUGUGUGGAUCAGUGACAUAAUCUCAAUUGAAUCCAUUUUAAAUUUGUGCUGUAACACAACCAAAUGUGGAAAAGGUAAAGGGGUGUGAAUACUUUCUGAGUGCACUGUAUGAGGAAGGGUGGAGAUGGGGAUUGAACCCCAGUCUCCGGUGGCGGAGGUGCUUGUGCCUGGGAGUGUUACACAUUCGACCAUGGAUCAGCACAUUUUAAAUCCCUUUUAUCAGUACCGAUCACGCACACCGCCACUCAUGAUUAUACUCUGAUUUGUUUUGUUUGGUCCAAUUGCAGGAUUCCUCCAGGGAAAAAACAGCUCUCUGCAAGUGAGAGACUCACAAUCUAUUUCCACGCUGUCCUCUCGAAGGAUUUCAAGCUGAACCCGGACGAGGAUCGCAUCUUCAUCAGGGCUGGGGGGGACAUUGGGAACUGGAAAACCGAUUCCGUUGAGCUCACUGUGUCUAAGUAGGUUUUUAUAUACAUGUAUCAGCCGUCAAGACAGUUUAGCCAAAUAUGUUGAAUAUUUAUUCAAUAGGAACCUGCUUAUAAUGUUCAACAUUGUUCCCAUCUAUCUCACAUAGAAAACAACCGACUCGUGGUGGGGGUUAAAUGUAUAUGAUGUGUAACAGAGGAUAAACCAAUGCCUUACCUCCUACAGGGAUCUUGGAGAGCAUGGGUUCCUAGUCGAAGGGAGCUUGAUCACAAGCAAAUCUAAUGCAACUGUCUCCAUACCAUACAAGUACCUCGUCUACAAGCUUAAAAAGCAAAAGUACGAGUUUGAGUACAUAUACAAACUGGAUUCUAACUACCCCACCACCAACAGAUGUCUUUUUGUCAAAUCUCAUCUGCUUAAUGAAGAAGGUGGGUGCAGUUGCUAUAACAACUUCUAUAGCAGUUCUUUAUUGUAAGUCACUGAUCAUUAAAAUGUUCCAUUUUCUUCAUGUAAGUUCAAAACCUUGUUGAUUUUUAUCAUACAUCUAUUUGGUAUUGCUCGUCUAUUUUGCUCACACUGUCUUACAUGUGAGGAAAUUGUUUAAAAUGUACGCAAAUAUAUUACGCAAUGAUUUUGUUUGGUUUCAGGGGACUGGCAUCAGUAUGAUGACAUCAUCUGUGUGGAGCCAUCCAAGAACGUGCUCAAGCGGCUAAAAGACGCUUUUUGGCCGGAACAAAGGAAAAGUGUCAUUGAAGGCCGAGAAAUUGCAGGGAAAGUUAUGCUGGAGAGUAUAUUUGACCUCCUCAGGAGCUGGACUGACAUUAACUUCAAGAGUUUCCUCAAUCAGCUGAAUCAGUUUUACCAGAUCUACGGGAACCCGUUUGUCUAUGAGGAGACACACAAGAAAUGGUACUCCUUAGACUACGACGAAAAAGAUGUAAGUGAAAUUCUUAAUGUCUGUUUGGCCUUUGCUUGUUUUGCUGUCUCCUGCCCUGCCUCCCCUCUUCUGAUUUAUCCCAGUUAUUUUGUUGCUGUUAGAAGUGAAAUGAGAGCAAGCAUUUCGCUGUGUCUAUUUGCUUGACUUGUAGAAAAGAUGACACCCACUCAUAUGAUUUGAACUCUGCCCAAUAAACGUGCGGACGCUGCACAAUGCUGUAAAUGUAUUGAGGUAAUAUUGUGUGGGAAUGAUCAUUUCUAUAAUGAUUGAUGUUGUUUUUUCACAUGUAUUUUUCAUUUGGUUGUCUUAUUGUACAUUCCUUUUGUAUGUGGAAGGGAAAAGCAAAUGGAUGAGUGUUGAGUUGCAGUGUGCAACCAUCCCCAAAACAAAUCUGUUAACAUUCACUGUUUGUUCUGCCUCCCCAAGGUCAGGAAGCUGCUGAAGCAGUUCAUGCUGGAUAACGUUGUUCCUCAGCUGCAGAAGGAGGGUGAGGGGAAGAGCUGCUUCAUCCAGGACCCCAUGAGGGCAGCUGUGGUCAUGCUGUACGCGUGGAAGAAGUUCGGCCUCAAGCUGGACCACGGAGAGUCCACCCGGCUCUGCAGCACCCUGUGCUUGCCCAAGCUGCCCAAAGACUCCUUUCUGCAGUACUGGACCGACUUCGCCCAAGCCGUCUCCGGUCUCAAAAAGUGGGUUUUGGCAUCAGGAUUUCUGCUUAUUUUUUGCCUAUUGCAGACAUUAUGAUUAUUGUUUAUUUUUAUACAAGAUGUAAUCAUUUGUAUUAG